Molecule: non-coding RNA, 202 nt
Organism: Pelobates cultripes (western spadefoot toad)
Lineage: Eukaryota; Metazoa; Chordata; Amphibia; Anura; Pelobatidae
Source: the annotation of a GenBank genome assembly
GCAGAGACAAGCUACAAAAUUAAUAAAAGGAAUGGAGUAUUUUAGUUAUGAAGAAACAUUAAAAAAUGUAAAUCAGUUUAGUUUGGAAAGACGGUGCCUGAGAGGGGAUAUGAUAACAUUAUACAAAUAUAUUCGGGGCCAGUACAAACCUUUAUCUGGAAAUCUAUUCAUAAACAGGGCUAUACAUAGGACACGAGGUCAC